UUUGGCGGCUAUACCGGGAGUGAUCACCCGUUCCCAUUCCGAACACGGAAGUUAAGCCUCCCAGGGCCGAUGGUACUGCGCUGGCGACGGCGUGGGAGAGUAGGUCGCCGCCGAGC
Molecule: ribosomal RNA, 116 nt
Filed under: Candidatus Stahliibacteriota bacterium
Lineage: Bacteria; Candidatus Stahliibacteriota
Source: RNAcentral